Long non-coding RNA from Micropterus salmoides (largemouth bass), 862 nucleotides. RefSeq lists it as uncharacterized. The record is from RefSeq and is a predicted model, not a curated record. Lineage: Eukaryota; Metazoa; Chordata; Actinopteri; Centrarchiformes; Centrarchidae. The transcript is spliced from 2 exons.
AGUGUGUGAAGUUCAUGCAAAGUAGUAUGUAGUAAGCUGGGGUUGUCCACUUGACUGUCCACUCGACAGUCUUACCACAGAAUACCGUCCUGCGUACUUUUGUGAGAAGUUAGACAUUUCUUCCCGAAAUGUAUCGUACAGUUAUUCACGUGUGUAUCACAGCUGUUUGCACACAGUGUUUUGUGGUAGCAUUCAUUAGCACAGUGAAUGGACUCUUAGCCAGUAUAGCUAACGUUAACUCAGCUGUAUACUAUUGGACUAGUUCACGGGUUUCGACGUGAAAACCCUGAAGAGUUAUCUGAAAGCUACAACUGCGAAAUCAAAGCUCUGAGUUCUUUAGAAAGAGGGACAGCGACCACGCCAGUUUGGACGCAUGCUCGCACCCCUGUUCACCCCAGCGGCAGAGCGCGGGACAGACCACGCCAUCUUUGGACACCUGCUUGCCCUUGUUUUGCUGGAGACCGGGAAAGACUGUUGAACUCUGCACAGUGGACUGAACUGUUGCUUAAGACAGAAAGUCAUCUGGCACAGUAAAGUCAUCUGUAAAGGAGACUGAUGGCUAACAAUUGAUGUGCCAAUCCCGUCUAGACAGCCGGUACUUCAUCCAAUUAUGUUGGGAAUACAAACAUGAUCGCAACAACAAUGGCAGGAUUACCAACACCAUAAAGAGGAGAGGAAGAAGUGGAGGAAGACAAGUGAUGAGGAUGAAAUUGACAAAGGAAGGAUAGACGAAGACAAGCCUGGUCUCUGGAAGACAUGAUGGUAUCAAUAGUGAGAGAUGUUGAUUUUAUUUAGAGGGAGGAACAAAAUACCAAUAAAUGUGUCCUCUUGCCAUGGUGCCAUUGAGAGGCCAUAAGUGAUA